CUGAAAAGUGGUGGCUGUGUGACUGCGUUCUAGUCAAUGGAAUGUGAACAUACAAGCAGAAAAACCUAACCAUGAGAAAAACAUCAGAAAAGACAUAAUUGUAGAACAUACCAUAACAUACCUGAUGAGUACUCUUCAGAACUUUCAAAGCCAGCAAAAACAAAGUCUGAAAAACUGUCACAGCCAGAAGGAUCCUUAGGACAAAUGACGACUAAAGGAUUGGUGACCUCAUAAGAAGAGAAAGAGCGAGAUCUCCCUAUCUCUUUUCAUGUGCACAUGAUGAAAAAAGGCCAUGUGAGCUCACAGUGAGAAGGUGGCCAUCCGCAAGCCAGGAAAUGAGCCCUCACCAGGACUGAAUCACCUGAUCUCAUACUUCCCAGCUUCCAGAACUGUGAGAAAAUAAAUUUUUGUUGUUUAUGC
Molecule: long non-coding RNA, 420 nt
Filed under: Papio anubis (olive baboon)
Lineage: Eukaryota; Metazoa; Chordata; Mammalia; Primates; Cercopithecidae
Description: lncRNA (ENSPANG00000037870.1)
Source: RNAcentral